CAGCCGCCGCGGUAAUACCGGCGGCCCGAGUGGCGGUCCCUAUUAUUGGGCUUAAAACGUCCGUAGCCGGGUUGGGGAGUCCUCCGGGAAAUCUGGCCGCUUAACGGUCAGAAUGCCGGAGGAUACUCCCAGCCUAGGGAGCGGGAGAGGCCGAGGGUAUUCCCGGAGUAGGGGUGAAAUCCUAUAAUCCCGGGAGGACCACCUGUGGCGAAGGCGCUCGGCUGGAACGCGUCCGACGGUGAGGGACGAAGGCCAGGGGAGCAAACCGGAUUAGAUACCCGGGUAGUCCUGGCUGUAAACGAUGCGGACUUUGUGUCGGACAAGCUAUGAGCUUGUCCGGUGCCGGAGGGAAACCGUUAAGUCCGCCGCCUGGGGAGUACGGCCGCAAGGCUGAAACUUAAAGGAAUUGGCGGG
RNAcentral lists this ribosomal RNA (414 nucleotides) under uncultured microorganism. Its description in RNAcentral is "bacterial SSU rRNA". It matches the Rfam family "Archaeal small subunit ribosomal RNA", at positions 459 to 872 of the family's 1478-position model. The record is from RNAcentral.